This is a long non-coding RNA of Nyctereutes procyonoides (raccoon dog), 625 nucleotides long. RefSeq lists it as uncharacterized. The transcript has 4 exons. NCBI's taxonomy places the organism in Eukaryota, Metazoa, Chordata, Mammalia, Carnivora, Canidae. The record is from RefSeq and is a predicted model, not a curated record.
CAUGGCAUCCCCGUGGCCUCCCAUUGACUUCACGGGGAGGCUGCAGGUGUGAACAACAGCUGGCACCAGGAAGCACAGGUGGAAGUGUUCAGAGGACUUAGUGUCAUCAACAAAGGACUAGCUUAUCAUAGAAGAACUGGAGAUCACAACUCUGGAAUGCUAUCUGUGCACAAGUUUCAACCACAGUGGAACUUGAGUCACAUGAAAACAAAAGGUUUGGAUGAAGCCAAAGUAUAUAGAGGCAAGACAGCAGCAAGGAUCCAAUCUUUUGACCCCUAUCCCACCUGCUCACACUGCCCACCUCUUUUCCAUUUUCUUUUGAAAAGCCUCAGGUCUCUAAUGGUUCACACCUCCUUCCCCAGGCUCAGCCCCUCACCUUUCUGAAACACAAGGGUAGUGGGAGUGUAACUCUUCUCUCUCAAUCAAAUGUUUGGAAAUGUCAGUUUCGUGUAGUCCAUGCCAAAAAAUUCAUUACUGACAUUCACCAGAAUAGGCUUAUCUCGGGGCAUCUGGGUGGCUCAGUGGUUGAACAUCUGCCUUUGGCUCUGGGCAUGAUCCCAGGGUCUUGGGAUCAAGUCCCACAUCGGGCUCCCUUCAGGGAGCCUGCUUCUCCCUCUGCUGUGUC